Pungitius pungitius (ninespine stickleback) is the source of this 968-nucleotide RNA transcript. It is a transcript of the gene named cystatin-like, with no coding region annotated. The transcript is spliced from 5 exons. The record is from RefSeq and is a predicted model, not a curated record. Lineage: Eukaryota; Metazoa; Chordata; Actinopteri; Perciformes; Gasterosteidae.
UGUAUCACGUGUUAUUAUUAUUCACACAGACGUUGCUAUACUUGUACUUUUCCUCACACUUUUAACUUCUUCAGGCCUUCCGGUUCGCGUCCUAAUCAACAGAUAGGAAACACGUGCGCGUUUCUAACGCGUUAAACCUUCUCCUAACGCCACCUCGGCCACUUAAAAACCACCCUCCCGACCCUCGGGGCAGCAGAAACAACUGUUCGGGUUCAAGAUGUUGUUGUUCUGGUGGUGCGUAGUCCUGUUCGCUUCGGCCGGUUGCUCGGGGGACCCCCGGGAAGGGAUGACGGGCGAGCCGCUCAGGGUCCCGGUGAACGGCACCAAGGUUUUGAGGGCAGCUCAUUUCGCGGUGUCCGAGUUCAACAGAGUCCACGCAGCAGAGCGGGUUGCUUACAAGCUCGUGAGCAUAACAUCGGCCAAAAUUCAGGUCGUCGCGGGUGUAGACUACAUCUUGGACGUGCUGCUUGGACGCACGACGUGCCAGAGCCUCUCCGCCGCAGACAGUGAGCCGUGUUUCCUCCACCCCAAAGCCAACUGUACUCUGAAGCGAGAAAGAAGCGACGGGAGGAAGCCGGCGGAUGAAAGGAGACAUGCACAAAGGUCCCAGGUACGACUCCGGGCGUGGAAGUCGUGGUUACAUGUGCUUGUUGGGGUCAAAGGCUGAAGGCUGGUGAGUGGUGACCUCAGUGAGAGGCCUGGGUGCGAUCUGACCUCUGAGUGGGUGUGCGGGCUGACUCUGGAGGAUACAGCUCAACAAAGGGCGGCACGUGCCUCGUCGUGGUCACCAUGUGAAGAACAGGACUGAGGGGAAUAUGCAUCAUCUUCUCUUUCAUGAGUCUUGGACACCAUCUUUUAUUAAUCUUGAAAAAACUACUUUGAUAUAUCAAGGUCUUUAUCUCUAUGUCUCUGGUGAAUAUGUUCAAUAGCCUUCUUAAUAAAAUAAACUUUCAGUGAAGGGUAAAGCA